This 460-nucleotide ribosomal RNA is filed under the name uncultured bacterium. RNAcentral describes it as "partial 16S ribosomal RNA". It matches the Rfam family "Bacterial small subunit ribosomal RNA", at positions 338 to 795 of the family's 1533-position model. The record is from RNAcentral.
CCUACGGGUGGCAGCAGUGAGGAAUAUUGGUCAAUGGACGCAAGUCUGAACCAGCCAUGCCGCGUGCAGGAAGACGGCUCUAUGAGUUGUAAACUGCUUUUGUACGAGGGUAAACGCAGAUACGUGUAUCUGUCUGAAAGUAUCGUACGAAUAAGGAUCGGCUAACUCCGUGCCAGCAGCCGCGGUAAUACGGAGGAUCCGAGCGUUAUCCGGAUUUAUUGGGUUUAAAGGGUGCGUAGGCGGUUUGAUAAGUUAGAGGUGAAAUGUCGGGGCUCAACCCCGAAACUGCCUCUAAUACGGGUAGACUAGAGAAUAGUUGCGGUAGGCGGAAUGUAUGGUGUAGCGGUGAAAUGCUUAGAGAUCAUACAGAACACCGAUUGCGAAGGCAGCUUACCAAACUAUAUCUGACGUUGAGGCACGAAAGCGUGGGUAGCAAACAGGAUUAGAUACCCUUGUAGUC